UACAGAGGGUGCGAGCGUUGUCCGGAAUCACUGGGCGUAAAGGGCGCGUAGGUGGCGGCCCAAGUCCGUGGUGAAAGCUCGCCGCUUAACGGCGAGUCGGCCACGGAGACUGGGUGGCUCGAGCACUGUAGGGGCAGAUGGAAUUCCGGGUGUAGCGGUGGAAUGCGUAGAGAUCCGGAAGAACACCAGUGGCGAAGGCGGUCUGCUGGGCAGUUGCUGACACUGAUGCGCGACAGCGUGGGGAUCAAACAGG
Molecule: ribosomal RNA, 253 nt
Filed under: uncultured bacterium
Lineage: Bacteria
Description: partial 16S ribosomal RNA
Rfam family: Bacterial small subunit ribosomal RNA
Source: RNAcentral